This 23-nucleotide non-coding RNA is filed under the name Arabidopsis thaliana (thale cress). Lineage: Eukaryota; Viridiplantae; Streptophyta; Magnoliopsida; Brassicales; Brassicaceae. The record is from RNAcentral.
UAUGUUGUGAUGAUGGUUGUAUA